This 513-nucleotide ribosomal RNA is filed under the name Fructilactobacillus sanfranciscensis. Its description in RNAcentral is "bacterial SSU rRNA". It matches the Rfam family "Bacterial small subunit ribosomal RNA", at positions 383 to 888 of the family's 1533-position model. Lineage: Bacteria; Bacillati; Bacillota; Bacilli; Lactobacillales; Lactobacillaceae. The record is from RNAcentral.
CUGAUGGAGCACGCCGCGUGAGUGAAGAAGGGUUUCGGCUCGUAAAACUCUGUUGUUAGAGAAGAACAGCCGUGAGAGCAACUGCUCACGGUAUGACGGUAUCUAACCAGAAAGUCACGGCUAACUACGUGCCAGCAGCCGCGGUAAUACGUAGGUGGCAAACGUUGUCCGGAUUUAUUGGGCGUAAAGGGAGCGCAGGCGGUUUAUUAAGUCUGAUGUGAAAGCCUUCGGCUUAACCGGAGAAGUGCAUCGGAAACUGAUAAACUUGAGUGCAGAAAAGGAUAGUGGAACUUCAUGUGUAGCGGUGAAAUGCGUAGAUAUAUGAAGGAACACCAGUGGCGAAGGCGGCUAUCUGGUCUGUAACUGACGCUGAGGCUCGAAAGCAUGGGUAGCAAACAGGAUUAGAUACCCUGGUAGUCCAUGCCGUAAACGAUGAAUGCUAGGUGUUGGAAGGUUUCCGCCUUUCAGUGCCGCAGCUAACGCAUUAAGCAUUCCGCCUGGGGAGUAUGACCG